AGAGUUUGAUCAUGGCUCAGAAUCAACGCUGGCGGCGCGCCUAACACAUGCAAGUCGAACGAGAAAGUGGAGCAAUCCAUGAGUACAGUGGCGUACGGGUGAGUAACACGUGGGUGAUCUACCUUUUAGUGAGGAAUAACCGAGGGAAACUUUGGCUAAUACCGCAUAAGCCCGAGAGGGGAAAGCAGAAAUGCGCUGAAAGAGGAGCCCGCGGCCGAUUAGCUAGUUGGUAGGGUAAGAGCCUACCAAGGCAGAGAUCGGUAGCCGGCCUGAGAGGGCACACGGCCACACUGGCACUGAAACACGGGCCAGACUCCUACGGGAGGCAGCAGUGGGGAAUCUUGCACAAUGGGGGAAACCCUGAUGCAGCGACGCCGCGUGAGCGAUGAAGCCCUUCGGGGUGUAAAGCUCUUUCGUCAGGGAAGAUAGUGACGGUACCUGGAGAAGCAGCUGCGGCUAACUACGUGCCAGCAGCCGCGGUAAUACGUAGGCAGCAAGCGUUGUUCGGAGUUACUGGGCGUAAAGGGUGUGUAGGCGGUUCUUUAAGUUUGCUGUGAAAUCUCCCGGCUUAACCGGGAGGGUGCGGUGAAUACUGAGGGACUAGAGUACGGGAGAGGAAAGUGGAAUUCCUGGUGUAGCGGUGAAAAUGCGUAGAUAUCAGGAGGAACACCGGUGGUGUAGACGGCUUUCUGGACCGUAACUGACGCUGAGACACGAAAGCGUGGGUAGCAAACAGGAUUAGAUACCCCGGUAGUCC
RNAcentral lists this ribosomal RNA (757 nucleotides) under uncultured bacterium. RNAcentral's name for it is "bacterial SSU rRNA". It matches the Rfam family "Bacterial small subunit ribosomal RNA", at positions 8 to 796 of the family's 1533-position model. The record is from RNAcentral.